AGGAAGGUAGUGUAGUUAACACCUGCACUAUUUGACGUUACCUACAGAAGAAGCACCGGCUAACUCCGUGCCAGCAGCCGCGGUAAUACGGGAGGGUGCGAGCGUUAAUCGGAAUUACUGGGCGUAAAGCGCAUGCAGGCGGCCUGUUAAGUCAGAUGUGAAAGACCCGGGGCGUUAACCUACGGUAAUUGCAUUUAGUAAACUGGCGAGGCUAGAGUCUUGUAGAGGGGGGUAGGAAUUUCAGGUGUAGCGGUGAAAUGCGUAGAGAUCUGAAGGAAUACCAGUGGCGAAGGCGGCCCCCUGGACAAAGACUGACGCUCAGAUGCGAAAGCGUGGGGAGCAAACAGGAUUAGAUACCCUGGUAG
This 365-nucleotide ribosomal RNA is filed under the name uncultured bacterium. RNAcentral's name for it is "bacterial SSU rRNA". It matches the Rfam family "Bacterial small subunit ribosomal RNA", at positions 441 to 793 of the family's 1533-position model. The record is from RNAcentral.